RNAcentral lists this long non-coding RNA (241 nucleotides) under Mytilus galloprovincialis (Mediterranean mussel). The record is from RNAcentral. Lineage: Eukaryota; Metazoa; Mollusca; Bivalvia; Mytilida; Mytilidae.
AGCUAGCUUAAGCUUCCACUUAUAUGACAAUUGCAUCAAAUGCAAUUAUAUUGAUAACAAUGUAUGAACAAAACAAACAGGCAUGAUAGGUAAAAAUUUUAAAAUACUGGUAUCACAGUCAACAUUGUAUUAUAAUCCUUAUCACUAUAAAAAACAAACAGAUAUGUAACAAAGAAACACAAAAAUGCAUAUAUACAAAGCACAUAAGCAAAAAAUGAAAGACAAGAAUACAAAAUAUUAC